GUGGUGGGGGAUAGCCGGCCCAACGGCCGGGUAAUACCGCAUAUGGUGCUUCUCUCGCAUGGGAGAGGCAGCAAAGCUGAGUCGCAAGACUUGGCGCCACAGGGGGGGCUCGCGGCCUAUCAGCUAGUUGGCGAGGUAACGGCUCACCAAGGCAACGACGGGUAGCUGGUCUGAGAGGAUGGCCAGCCACAUUGGGACUGAGAUACGGCCCAG
RNAcentral lists this ribosomal RNA (213 nucleotides) under uncultured bacterium. RNAcentral's name for it is "partial 16S ribosomal RNA". It matches the Rfam family "Bacterial small subunit ribosomal RNA", at positions 133 to 334 of the family's 1533-position model. The record is from RNAcentral.